GAUGAACGCUGGCGGCGUGCUUAACACAUGCAAGUCGAACGAAGCACUGUGACGGAAACCUUCGGGCGGAAGACACAGUGACUGAGUGGCGGACGGGUGAGUAACGCGUGGGCAACCUGCCCCAUACAGGGGGAUAGCAGCUGGAAACGGCUGAUAAUACCGCAUAACCCGGCGGUGCCGCAUGGCACUGACGGCAAAGAUUUAUCAGUAUGGGGAUGGGCCCGCGUCCGAUUAGCUGGUUGGCAGGGUAACGGCCUACCAAGGCGACGAUCGGUAGCCGGCUUGAGAGAGUGAACGGCCACAUUGGGACUGAGACACGGCCCAA
RNAcentral lists this ribosomal RNA (325 nucleotides) under uncultured bacterium. Its description in RNAcentral is "bacterial SSU rRNA". It matches the Rfam family "Bacterial small subunit ribosomal RNA", at positions 28 to 334 of the family's 1533-position model. The record is from RNAcentral.